GUGCAUGUACAUGGGAUUCCUACCUGCUACUCGGACCUGGUUGGGGGCACAGGCCCGGCAGGGAAGGACCCGGAACUCCUCGGCCUGGUACAUGGAGUAGUCGGUGCUGGCCACCACCACCGUGUCCCCAGGCUUCCACGACCGCACGUCAGCCUCCAGCGUCAGGAGUGUGCUGUUGACGUGGGUGUCGAUGGUGACGGUGAGCUUGGG
Molecule: long non-coding RNA, 210 nt
Organism: Myotis brandtii (Brandt's bat)
Lineage: Eukaryota; Metazoa; Chordata; Mammalia; Chiroptera; Vespertilionidae
Exons: 3
Source: RefSeq, a predicted model, not a curated record